Molecule: long non-coding RNA, 999 nt
Filed under: Fragaria vesca (wild strawberry)
Lineage: Eukaryota; Viridiplantae; Streptophyta; Magnoliopsida; Rosales; Rosaceae
Description: long non-coding RNA (FVES_LNC004393)
Source: RNAcentral
UCAGGUGCGGCCGGGGGGGAUUCCCUGUUGAGUAGGUUCCUCUCUUGAGGAUGGAAGUGAAGUUCAGUUUUGAUGUCGACUCCGCUCUAAGAGCAGUGAAGUUGAAUUCGAGUGAAAAAGCAGUUAGCUCAGGUAGCUUGAACUAUAACUCUUCCUCCCACUAGGGAGAGCGAGGUUUUCAAUCCUUUUGACUUGACACCUUUCUUGUCGGAGUGAACGGGGUUGCCUCGUUUCGGGGUUAUCUUGUUGAAUGCCCGUUGAAUCGUAUAUAACUGAUUGUCUAACUGGAAAGACCUCCAUACCUACCGAUCUGAGUACAGAAAUCUUGUGUAAGAAAAUGGGUCGUUCUUGUAUAUGUCCACUAAUUUAUAUAUCCCCAAGGAACUCUCAUUAGAAGGUCAUAUCCGAGUCCAUAACUUAUUUUGUAAUAGCCCUUUGACCCUGUUUGCUCUUCCUAUUUCUUAGUAGGAGUGCUCCUAUGUUAGCAGGACAUUUCGUGCAAGAACUAGGUUUGAGUUAGUGCACUAACUAGGUUCUUUUUUCUCCCCUAAUGGCUCUAUCUCUGAGUUCUUAUUUCGCUCACUAGGGCAGAGGAGGGCUCCAAGCUAUCUUGUUAAUGAUAAGCCAGAAUCCUUUCUUCUAUUCUUUAUGUAAUUUCCUCUACCGUUUGGGAGUGAGUUCGAAAUUACCUUUGCUUCGCAACCUUCUUCAAGGUUUCGGCCAGGAGAAGGUAGAGCGGAUGUAAAUGUGCAAACAGCACCUGCCUUUCAAGUUGCACCGGCGAGCGCAUCCGAUUCGAAAGUCCUUUCCUUCCCGUUCAGUUGCUGAAAGUAUAGAGAUAAGCUUUCCCCUUUACUUCGUAACCUUAUCUAUACCUAUACCUUGUAACCCAGGUUACGCUCUUCCCCGGUUCCUUCUAUUUAGAUUCUUUAUUCAAGGCGAGAACUCUUUUCUUUCUGAACCUUUCUUCUCGGGGACGGAUAUAGUGGGGUCGGAUAU